This 464-nucleotide ribosomal RNA is filed under the name uncultured bacterium. RNAcentral's name for it is "partial 16S ribosomal RNA". It matches the Rfam family "Bacterial small subunit ribosomal RNA", at positions 28 to 507 of the family's 1533-position model. The record is from RNAcentral.
GACGAACGCUGGCGGCGUGCUUAACACAUGCAAGUCGAACGGAAAGGCCCAGCUUGCUGGGUGCUCGAGUGGCGAACGGGUGAGUAACACGUGGGUGAUCUGCCCCUAACUUCGGGAUAAGCUUGGGAAACUGGGUCUAAUACCGGAUAGGACAAUCGUUUAGUGUCGGUUGUGGAAAGUUUUUUCGGUUAGGGAUGAGCCCGCGGCCUAUCAGCUUGUUGGUGGGGUAAUGGCCUACCAAGGCGUCGACGGGUAGCCGGCCUGAGAGGGUGGACGGCCACAUUGGGACUGAGAUACGGCCCAGACUCCUACGGGAGGCAGCAGUGGGGAAUAUUGCACAAUGGGCGCAAGCCUGAUGCAGCGACGCCGCGUGGGGGAUGACGGCCUUCGGGUUGUAAACCUCUUUCGACAGGGACGAAGCUUUGGUGACGGUACCUGUAUAAGAAGCACCGGCUAGCUACGUG